UAGGGAGGCGUAGCGAAAGCGAGUCGUGAAAAGGGCGAUAUAGUUGCUGGACGUAGACCCGAAACCAGAUGAUCUACCCAUGGCCAGGAUGAAGGUGGGGUAACACCCACUGGAGGUCCGAACCACUAGUGUUGAAAAACUAGGGGAUGAGCUGUGGGUAGGGGUGAAAGGCUAAACAAAUCUGGAGAUAGCUGGUUCUCCCCGAAAACUAUUUAGGUAGUGCCUCAUAUGGACACUUCCGGGGGUAGAGCACUGUAAUGGUUGAGGGGGUCGUUUAGAUCUACCUCGCCAUAGCAAACUCCGAAUACCGGAAAGUGAUGUAUGGGAGACAGACGUGGGUGCUAACGUCCAUCGUCAAGAGGGAAACAACCCCAGACCGCCAGCUAAGGUCCCCAAUGAUUGGCUAAGUGGAAAACGAGGUGGGAAGGCAUAGACAGUCAGGAGGUUGGCUUAGAAGCAGCCAUCCUUUAAAGAAAGCGUAAUAGCUCACUGAUCGAGUCGUCCUGCGCGGAAGAUGUAACGGGGCC
Molecule: ribosomal RNA, 527 nt
Filed under: uncultured bacterium
Lineage: Bacteria
Description: bacterial LSU rRNA
Rfam family: Bacterial large subunit ribosomal RNA
Source: RNAcentral